UCUCCCCCGAGGUCCCAACCCAUCUGACCAUCUCCAAUCUCCAAAACAGGGGGAAAGGCAGGCACUACCGCCGGCAACUUUGAAAUCCGACGAGAUGGUCGUUGCCGGCGCCAUCCGACCCCAACCCCUCUCAUGCGUCCUCUCUGCUUCACUGCCCGCCGACGCCACGGCCCCAUCCUCCCCGCCGUCUCCUCCACCCGUUUCCCAUCUCACUGGACGCCAAUCUCGGCAAGCAGGACGCCGACGCCUCUACUACCUCCUCGCCUACCGCUGCAGGACCACCGACGACCAUCACUGCCACCACUCCCUCCUUCUCGCAAUCCUCUCCCCAUCACAUGUCUGCACCGACGCCGACCGCCGCAGACCAAUAGAAAGCAACUGGGCAGGCAUAUGUGACUCACGCUGUGUCAACUACACCCAAAGAAGCCACGCGCUGGUCACAAAAAUACUCAGAUUGAACGGACUUCGCCUUUUGAUCUCCUUCGUUAAGUUCCAAGGUUCAAAAGAUACUUGAUAAGCUCAAGAGAAACCCAUGGGUUUAGGUGUGGAACUAAGAACCACAAGGUCAUGACAUAGUGGCUGAGCUUGAUUGAAUAGAUAUUCAGUAUGAGCACUCAUUUAGAGAUUGGUAAUUAUGAUCAGAUAUUUAUAAGUAGUGCAACUGGCUUCAUAUUUAAGUGUUUUUGGAUAACCUCAUACUUCGUCAUGUUUUUUUGGUGUGGUGGUAGGGGGGGGGGGGGGGUCAGAUCUUCCGGCCAAAUGUUACAGCACUCGCGCCAACAAAAUGAUGAAGGAAAACAAAAAGUGGUCGGCGAUAAUAAUAAGUCCAACAGAGCAGGCUCCAAUGGCAUGCCACAAGCUCAUACGAGUCUAUUUAUAUGUGAGCCGACAUACGUGACACAUUUAGGUUACACGUCUUCUUGGGAUGAUGAAGUGACAAACCAAUCAGAUAUGAUUAUUCCUACUGAUGGUAUGCUCACAUCAAUUGGGGAUUUGGAGCGAGGAGAAAUUUCAAGAGUAUUUUGAGGCAAAAAAGGAAUAUGAGUUGGUCGAGGAAUAUUAUAUAAGGAUUUCCCAUCAUAUUUUACAUACAAAAAUCUAGCGCAUUAACACAACAUCAAUGUACGAUGUCACAAAUUUUCGUGUCGAAAUUUGAAAUAUUUUAUAAGAUACAAAAAUGGUAAAUUCAAUAUCAGUGUGAUAAUGGGUCAAAUCUAAAGCCAAGUUAUGUUAUGUACUAUUCAAUGUUAAAUUUAUCAUUUUUAUUGUUCAAUUUACGUUUCGAGUUUUAACUUGAAAUUUUGUGACAACCUGCACUAAUGUUGUGUGAAUGUGCUAAAUUUUUUCAGAAUUUUGUGAACAUUUGAAAAGCACAACAUAAGCUCCGGUGCACCUAAUAUUUUCCCCUUUUGCUUGGCCAAGGGGGUAUAUCAGUUGGAAACCAUAUGUUUGAUUUUGCUCGGCGUGUACCUAUCCACAAUAUGGCAUCACUUUGAUAAAUGUGUUGGUGCAUCUUUUAUUGUUUACUAAACUCCUGACACUUCAGUAAAUAUUUCAUCUGAUCUUUUGUGAUUCCGUGACGUAGCACGGACAUCUUACUAGUAUUGUAAAAAUAGCUGCGGCUCAUAGGAUGUAGCAAUGUUUCCUCUUGACUUCAUGUCUUGCCUUACACCUUCUUGGAUCCCGCAACUUGUAUGUUCCCUUAUAACAAAGUAAAUCAGAAGCUCUUGCGGUGUAUACUUCGCCGCUGUUCUAGAGUUCU
This is an RNA transcript of Hordeum vulgare subsp. vulgare (domesticated barley), 1762 nucleotides long. RefSeq lists it as uncharacterized. Lineage: Eukaryota; Viridiplantae; Streptophyta; Magnoliopsida; Poales; Poaceae. The record is from RefSeq and is a predicted model, not a curated record. The transcript is spliced from 4 exons.